CUGCAGCAACAGUCCAAAGAGUGAAAGUUGACUGCAGCCUAUAUAAGGGACUUUGCUAUCUCUGUCUUCUUUGCUGGAAAGGACAUCUGGCUCUGAAUGGAUCACCAUAAUCUCAACAUCUUUUUGACAUCAUGGCGACCAAAACUGAAUGCAAUAUUCCAAGUGUGACCUUACCAAGGUGAAAACAUUCAGAGCAAGCUGAAGGUGAACAGAAAAUGUUGUCUCUGCCUGUCCUACAGAAACUGUUGGUGGAUAUAUUCAGCAGGGCAAUCUGGCAGUGAAAAUAUGUCUUUAUGGUAAAAUAAAUGGAUUAGGUAGGAUUAAAAUUACCAAUGAAGAAGA
Long non-coding RNA from Pantherophis guttatus, 342 nucleotides. RefSeq lists it as uncharacterized. NCBI's taxonomy places the organism in Eukaryota, Metazoa, Chordata, Lepidosauria, Squamata, Colubridae. The record is from RefSeq and is a predicted model, not a curated record.